UGACUACAACCCAAAAGUCCUCUUAGAAUCUAAAUGAGAAUUUUCAAGCAAGAAGUAUUCGUAUAAUCCCGAGGACCCGGCCUAGCGAAUCUGCGGAUCUCGCUGGAGGCGGGCCCAAUGCGCCGCGCGCGAAGGGGCGUGGCCAGAGUGCGGAGCCCGGCGGUGCGAGGCGCUUCCUGUGGGACUCGCGAACCCGGGCGGCGGGACGGGCGCUCACCGGGAGGAGAGCUUCCGCCGGCGCAGCACCGGUGAUUCAGGCCGUUGUUGAGCCUCUCACGUAACGGACGGAGCGUUUCCUUCCCGUUAUUUCGCUUGGCCUUUAAAAAAUAUCCAUUUGACAGAACCACAGGAUCUUGCCGCUAGGGCUGAAGUCGCCCUCCAGCGGAAUCCGGUGUGACCACAGGCACCCUGGCCUCUGGGAAAGUGGAUGAUGCCCCGAGCUCCUGACGUCUCUACAACUGUCCCUCGCAGUAUAACCUUAUACAAGCCAUUGACCGACCGCUCUUUUCAAAUAAAAAAUUCUGGCCCGGGGAUUUAGCUCAGUGGUUUCUAGCCUGCUGCGCAAGCUGAAGGACCCGAGUUCGAUCCCCGGAACCAAAAAAACCCAAACAAAUUAAAAAUUCUUCCUCCAUGGAUGGUAAUUGCAGGGACGCAGGACUUAUGGAAGACACCAGAACAGUGCAACAAAAGGCCCUUGGAGCCGGGUUUACGCAAAUUCACCGUUUUAAUGAAUAAAGGGACGAAGGGGAUUUGUCCAAAGUUUCCCACCACAAGAACAGAUGGCAGGAUUAGGACUCUUGAAAAUUAUGAAAAUGAGGCCGAAAAAA
Long non-coding RNA from Heterocephalus glaber (naked mole-rat), 827 nucleotides. RefSeq lists it as uncharacterized. The record is from RefSeq and is a predicted model, not a curated record. Lineage: Eukaryota; Metazoa; Chordata; Mammalia; Rodentia; Bathyergidae.